GUUUUAUUUUGAGUUUUUCUUUUGUGCACUGUCCUCAUGGCUAUACCCUCCAGAGAACCUGUUCCUCUGGGAAUCUUAUUUAAUGAAGAUAUUUCCAUAUUGAAGUGAGGGAGGUGGGAAUUAAAGUGAAAGGGGAGAUGAUGCAUUUAUUCUGGAUUAUGUUUGAAGUGUUAGAUGGUGAAGUGUUAAAAGCAUCCAAAUUAAAUCCAUAGCAAUCAGAACACUGCUUUACUAGAUUUUGCCAACUGCCAGUCAUGUUGGACUGAGCUAAUCUGUUCCUCUUUCUGAAACUAUUAAGGUAAAUAAUUAACAAUAAAACUUCCUCUUAUAAAGGC
This 335-nucleotide long non-coding RNA is filed under the name Androctonus crassicauda. The record is from RNAcentral. Lineage: Eukaryota; Metazoa; Arthropoda; Arachnida; Scorpiones; Buthidae.